UAUUAGCUCAGUUGGUUAGAGCGCGCCCCUGAUAAGGGCGAGGUCUCUGGUUCAAAUCCAG
This 61-nucleotide transfer RNA is filed under the name Proboscia alata. It matches the Rfam family "tRNA", at positions 8 to 62 of the family's 71-position model. Rfam says of the family: Transfer RNA (tRNA) molecules are approximately 80 nucleotides in length. Their secondary structure includes four short double-helical elements and three loops (D, anti-codon, and T loops). RNAcentral also lists the same sequence under 2 other names. Lineage: Eukaryota; Bacillariophyta; Melosirophyceae; Probosciales; Probosciaceae. The record is from RNAcentral.